GCCGGCGUAGCUCAGUUGGCAGAGCAUUCGCCUUGUAAGCGAAGGGUCAUGGGUUCAAGUCCCAUCGCCGGCU
This 73-nucleotide transfer RNA is filed under the name Chloroflexota bacterium. RNAcentral describes it as "Chloroflexi bacterium (groundwater metagenome) tRNA-Thr". It matches the Rfam family "tRNA". Rfam says of the family: Transfer RNA (tRNA) molecules are approximately 80 nucleotides in length. Their secondary structure includes four short double-helical elements and three loops (D, anti-codon, and T loops). Further hydrogen bonds mediate the characteristic L-shaped molecular structure. tRNAs have two regions of fundamental functional importance: the anti-codon, which is responsible for specific mRNA codon recognition, and the 3' end, to which the tRNAs corresponding amino acid is attached (by aminoacyl-tRNA synthetases). tRNAs cope with the degeneracy of the genetic code in two manners: having more than one tRNA (with a specific anti-codon) for a particular amino acid; and 'wobble' base-pairing, i.e. permitting non-standard base-pairing at the 3rd anti-codon position. The record is from RNAcentral. RNAcentral also lists the same sequence under 1 other name. Lineage: Bacteria; Bacillati; Chloroflexota.